Molecule: long non-coding RNA, 1886 nt
Organism: Mya arenaria
Lineage: Eukaryota; Metazoa; Mollusca; Bivalvia; Myida; Myidae
Exons: 4
Source: RefSeq, a predicted model, not a curated record
AAACCUUAUCUGGCAGUACUUAAGAGUGCAUCUUUGACUUUAUUACUCGAGUGAAUGCACCUUCAAACCGGUUUAACACCAACAUGUCACAGUAAUCAAUACCAUCUGUGUUAAGAUGUCGGGAAUGUGUUAGACGAAUGAUUUUGUUUUAUGGAGCUUUGAAGAGCGAUGAAUGGCACUAAAGUGGUGCCAAAUGGAUAUCUCAAACACCCAUUGUUGAUGUGUGAUGCUGAUAAUACAGAGACAGCUAGAGUGACAGAGUUUGAUGAAUAAACUUAAAUUAAAAAACAGAAAUAACCACCAUCUCUCUCAGAGGUCAUCUUUCUCAUUAUUGUGGGAAACCUCAAAGGGCAUCAGGAAAACCUUCAUCAACCUCUUUGUGCCCAGUGGCUUGUGCAACAGUGUUUCAGAAAUUAUCAUUAAAAUGGGGAUAAUGGAUGACUGGCCACACAUAUGGGGCUAUGGACAAGCUUCAGAGCAGGCUGCCAGGUGGUGGUGUUAGUAGUUUAUACUCCGGGUCCCGGCGUGAGCACAUUGAAGGGUCCCAGAGUGACAGUUCAACCACCCACACCUAUCCUGGGCAGAACCAGUACUAGGUGCCUUCACCUCUGCAAGGAACUGACAGCUUCUGUACAUGCCAGGUGCAGUGGUACAGUGCGAAUGGUCGUAGAAAGGAUUUCAUAACCAAUCACAACAGAGGUCACCUGGUCCGCCCGGGAAUCGAACCCGGGAUGUCCAAUUCAGAGUCCAACGCUCUACCGAUUGAGCUGACCGGGCGGACAUAUUAGCUACAUUAGAUGACAAGCCAUCUAUGCUGGACAUUCUUCACAAUAAAAUGUGAUGUCACAGGAGCUGUCUAUCUCAACAGCUCACACUGUCCGUAUUUGACUAAAGGAAUGAAUGAAGUCACUGCAGAAGUUAGAUUGAGGAAUGUCCAUGUCACUACCCAUCAUUUGGAAGGAGUUGGAUAAAAAAAGUGUGGCCUAUGUAUUGAAACAGGUCCGAUUUCCAGUUACGGACAGUCUUGAUUUGUCUGAUUACAUUUUUGACCAACAUGAUGGUCUAAAAGAACACUUACUGGUAACUGGUAAAAUCAUGGCCCAGUUGUUCCAAGAGGCAGGCGAGUGGGAAGUUACUAGACUCCAUUUCUUUAUGGGUUGAUCUGAGGUUCCAGUUCAGUUAAAGUACUGAUAGAACACCAAGUGUUUGCCAUAAUACAGCAACAUUUCAUUUGUAACUAUGUAUUUGUUUGAAUUGUUGAAACAGUACUGUUUACUAAAUAAUGUGUAUGUAUAUGAAGAAUAAUAUUAUAAAUAAUUUGUAAGAACCUUUUGAUAUUAAGUAAAAUGUCGAUAAGUCUAAAUAUGUAUCUGCGAAUCAUUUUUGUAUAUCUGUAAAGAUUACAUUGCCUAUAUUCCUCAAUUUAUAUUUUUCUUUUAGCCAGUCAAUAACUUUGUUAAGUUCUAUCUUCAAAAUUGUCGGGACAGGGAUUAUAGCCCUUAAUUAACCCAAAUAUGUAACAUUCAAUGCAAAAUUGGCUGCAAUUAGGCAGUUCAGAUGCAGGAACAAACAUCACUUGGGUCCUUAAUAAUAGCUUUCCAUCUGACAUUGAAGAUCCAAUAAAAGGAAUUUGUCAUGUGACUGUUUAUUAACUCUCAAUUUAUUGAAAGUGAAAUUACUUACAUGAUUUGUAAGAACUAAAUUAUAAUGAUAUCAAAUGAUUGUUUAAAUUAAAUAAAAUAGAUGAUUACAUACAUGAACUAUUUUUAUUUCUUGUUUGUCAAUAUGAAGAGUAAUGCAAUGGCUUUUGAAUUUCAUAAAAAAGGAUGGAAAAAUGUAUGUUUAUUGUUUAAGCAAUUAAUUAAGUAAUAAAAGUUUUUUUUUUU